Long non-coding RNA from Cannabis sativa, 707 nucleotides. RefSeq lists it as uncharacterized. The transcript has 2 exons. Lineage: Eukaryota; Viridiplantae; Streptophyta; Magnoliopsida; Rosales; Cannabaceae. The record is from RefSeq and is a predicted model, not a curated record.
GGUGAUUAUAGCUUCCCUUCUCCUUGAAUAACUGGGCAAAGUGGUGUUUGCAGUAAAGAAUUCCAUCCAAAGCAGCAUAGGAUGAUGCUGACAGGAAGCAACCACCAUGAUUACACCUGAAGCAUGACUUGUGAUUGCACAUUUGUCUUGAGUUCCAGAGAACAUGGAGGAGAGCUUGCUAGGGGCCCUGGCCUGAGAAAGUAUGGCAUGAAGGAAUUUUGAGAGAUUGAAUGAAUACAUAUAUGCUAAGUUGAGUAGAGAUUUCCUAGAAGAAAAAGAUAUGAAGAUAAAUGUAAAAGAUUUGGAUGUACCAGUUGAUCUGUUGGUGGCUUUCCAGCUGAUCAGACAUGAUGAAGAAACAUUUAUUAGUAGUUUAUGAUGGAAAUAAGAUCAGUCAAUCUUCAAAGGUGAAAGAGGGUGUUCUUACAUUGAAAUUUCUUGGUGAAACUACCAGUUUCCCUGAAGAGUUGCUCAAAGUGAGGCUUGCAAUACAAGACUCCAUCCAUGGAGGAGUAAUUGCUUAUCUGCAUAAAGAAGAUGUCAUAUGUCAUAUAUCAGAUAAGUGCUUCGUCAUCUCAUUUUAAUCACUACUUUACCCUUAUCUUCUUUUACAUGAAACUUUGUGAAUUUCUCUUAUGAUUUCCAUGUGAAAAAAUUUUCAUGUUGAAUAAUCUUUAUAGUCCCUUAAGGAUCUUUCCUCCCUAAAA